GGGUACAAUUGGAACAAAUUCAAACAAGCAGAUUCGAGAAGUGAUUAGAAGAGAGAGAUUUCACAAGCUCUCCCCAGUCCCCGAGUGGCACAGAAGAUGGGUGUGCAUGCAUUCUCCCUGCAGUGACCGUGGACGAGGCGGCAGCGGCACUAGCCCCUUGAUACUGGAGCCCUGGUUCCUGCGUCACAGUCACACUCACUUCAGGUGGUCUCCGUGCUUGGUGCCCUGCGGGUCUGGUCUCAUUGCAGAUGUCAUUUCCCACGGCUAGACCAGCACCCAUCCCUCCAGUUUUCCUUAACGUAAGUCUGUGAUUCUCUAUGUUUCAUCUUUUCCUCUUUAAAAAAAUUAGACUA
Molecule: long non-coding RNA, 353 nt
Filed under: Ursus maritimus (polar bear)
Lineage: Eukaryota; Metazoa; Chordata; Mammalia; Carnivora; Ursidae
Description: lncRNA (ENSUMAG00000023399.1)
Source: RNAcentral